RNAcentral lists this ribosomal RNA (692 nucleotides) under vouchered mycorrhizae (Thelephoraceae). RNAcentral describes it as "eukaryotic LSU rRNA". The stretch from base 260 to 414 matches the Rfam family "5.8S ribosomal RNA". The record is from RNAcentral. Lineage: Eukaryota; Fungi; Basidiomycota; Agaricomycetes; Thelephorales; Thelephoraceae.
UUUAGAGGAAGUAAAAGUCGUAACAAGGUUUCCGUAGGUGAACCUGCGGAAGGAUCAUUACUGAACUGUCGACACGAGUUGUUGCUGGCCCUCGAAAGGGGCACGUGCACACUCUGUUUACACAUCCACUCACACCUGUGCACCCUCCGUAGUUCUAUGGCCUUGGGGACUCUGUCCCAUUGCCGUGGUUCUACGUCUUUACACACACACCGUAAUAAAGUCUCAUGGAAUGUAUGUCGCGUUUAACGCAAUACAAUACAACUUUCAGCAACGGAUCUCUUGGCUCUCGCAUCGAUGAAGAACGCAGCGAAAUGCGAUAAGUAAUGUGAAUUGCAGAAUUCAGUGAAUCAUCGAAUCUUUGAACGCACCUUGCGCCCUUUGGCUAUUCCGAAGGGCAUGCCUGUUUGAGUAUCAUGAACACCUCAACUCUCGUGGUCCGCCAUGAUGAGCUUGGACUUUGGGGGUCUUGCCGGCCUAGUGUCGGCUCCUCUCAAAUGGAUCAGCUUGCCAGUGUUUGGUGGCGUCACAGGUGUGAUAACUAUCUACGCUUGUGGUCCCCUGCCAUGCAACCUUCAGCAAUGGAGGUUCGCUGGAGCUCACAGAUGUCUCUCCUCGGCGAGGACAGCUUUUUGAACGUUUGAUCUCAAAUCAGGUAGGACUACCCGCUGAACUUAAGCAUAUCAAUAAGCGGA